GUCGUUGUCGUCAGCUCGUGUCGUGAGAUGUUCGGUUAAGUCCCGCUAACGAGCGCAACCCUCGCUGUGUGUUAUAUGUGUCACACGGGACUGCCGGUCUUAAGCCGGAGGAAGGUGGGGAUGAUGUCAAGUCCUCAUGGCCCUUAUGGGUAGGGCUUCACACGUCAUACAAUGGUCGGUACAGAGGGUUGCCAAGCCGCGAGGUGGAGCCAAAUCCCUUAAAGCCGAUCGUAGUCCGGAUCGUAGUCUGCAACUCGACUACGUGAAGUCGGAAUCGCUAGUAAUCGUGGAUCAGAAUGUCACGGUGAAUACGUUCCCGGGUCUU
Molecule: ribosomal RNA, 325 nt
Filed under: uncultured Anaerolineaceae bacterium
Lineage: Bacteria; Bacillati; Chloroflexota; Anaerolineae; Anaerolineales; Anaerolineaceae
Description: bacterial SSU rRNA
Rfam family: Bacterial small subunit ribosomal RNA
Source: RNAcentral